RNAcentral lists this ribosomal RNA (301 nucleotides) under uncultured bacterium. RNAcentral's name for it is "partial 16S ribosomal RNA". It matches the Rfam family "Bacterial small subunit ribosomal RNA", at positions 509 to 807 of the family's 1533-position model. The record is from RNAcentral.
CAGUCGCCGCGGUAAUACGUAGGGUGCAAGCGUUAAUCGGAAUUACUGGGCGUAAAGCGUGCGCAGGCGGUUUUGUAAGACAGAGGUGAAAUCCCCGGGCUCAACCUGGGAACUGCCUUUGUGACUGCAAGGCUAGAGUACGGCAGAGGGGGAUGGAAUUCCGCGUGUAGCAGUGAAAUGCGUAGAUAUGCGGAGGAACACCGAUGGCGAAGGCAAUCACCUGGGCCUGUACUGACGCUCAUGCACGAAAGCGUGGGGAGCAAACAGGAUUAGAUACCCGAGUAGUCCCUGUCUCUUAUAC